AACGUAGGGAACCUGCCCAUGCGGCCGGGACAACUUCCGGAAACGGAUGCUGAUACCGGGUAAGGAAAGCGAAGGCAUCUUUGCUUUGUUAAAGGAGCUGCAAGGCUCCGCGCAUGGAUGGACCUGCGGUGCAUUAGCUGGUUGGUGAGGUAAAGGCUCACCAAGGCGACGAUGCAUAGCCGGCCUGAGAGGGCGAACGGCCACACUGGGACUGAGACACGGCCCAGACUCCUACGGGAGGCAGCAG
This 247-nucleotide ribosomal RNA is filed under the name uncultured bacterium. RNAcentral's name for it is "partial 16S ribosomal RNA". It matches the Rfam family "Bacterial small subunit ribosomal RNA", at positions 114 to 354 of the family's 1533-position model. The record is from RNAcentral.